UACGUAGGGUGCGGGCGUUAAUCGGAAUUACUGGGCGUAAAGCGUGCGCAGGCGGUUUUGUAAGACAGGCGUGAAAUCCCCGGGCUCAACCUGGGAACUGCGCUUGUGACUGCAAGGCUAGAGUACGGCAGAGGGGGGUGGAAUUCCACGUGUAGCAGUGAAAUGCGUAGAGAUGUGGAGGAACACCAAUGGCGAAGGCAGCCCCCUGGGUCGAUACUGACGCUCAUGCACGAAAGCGUGGGUAGCAAACAGG
This 253-nucleotide unclassified non-coding RNA is filed under the name uncultured Gammaproteobacteria bacterium. Its description in RNAcentral is "contains 16S-23S intergenic spacer region". It matches the Rfam family "Bacterial small subunit ribosomal RNA", at positions 524 to 776 of the family's 1533-position model. The record is from RNAcentral. Lineage: Bacteria; Pseudomonadati; Pseudomonadota; Gammaproteobacteria.